UUGGGUGUUCUGAGAGGGGUUUACCAGG
Molecule: non-coding RNA, 28 nt
Filed under: Rattus norvegicus (Norway rat)
Lineage: Eukaryota; Metazoa; Chordata; Mammalia; Rodentia; Muridae
Source: RNAcentral